GUGAGGAAUUUUCCGCAAUGGGCGAAAGCCUGACGGAGCAAUGCCGCGUGAAGGAUGAAGGCCUAUGGGUUGUAAACUUCUUUUCUCAGAAAAGAAUUAUGACGGUAUCUGAGGAAUAAGCAUCGGCUAACUCUGUGCCAGCAGCCGCGGUAAGACAGAGGAUGCAAGCGUUAUCCGGAAUGAUUGGGCGUAAAGCGUCUGUAGGUUGUUUAAAAAGUAUUCUGUCAAAGAUUAGGGCUUAACCCUAGAUAGGCAGAAUAAACUUUUAAGAUAGAGUUUGGUAGAGGCAGAGGGAAUUCCCGGUGGAGCGGUGAAAUGCGUAGAUAUCGGGAGGAACACCAAAGGCGAAGGCACUCUGCUGGGCCAAUACUAACACUGAGAGACGAAAGCGAGGGGAGCAAAUGGGAUUAGAAACCCGUGUAGUCC
Molecule: ribosomal RNA, 426 nt
Filed under: uncultured bacterium
Lineage: Bacteria
Description: partial 16S ribosomal RNA
Rfam family: Bacterial small subunit ribosomal RNA
Source: RNAcentral